Molecule: transfer RNA, 64 nt
Filed under: Cronobacter sakazakii
Lineage: Bacteria; Pseudomonadati; Pseudomonadota; Gammaproteobacteria; Enterobacterales; Enterobacteriaceae
Also listed under: 2 other names
Rfam family: tRNA
About the family: Transfer RNA (tRNA) molecules are approximately 80 nucleotides in length.
Source: RNAcentral
CUUAGCUCAGCUGGAUAGAGCAACGGCCUUCUAAGCCGUGGGUCGCAGGUUCGAGUCCUGCAGG